This 72-nucleotide transfer RNA is filed under the name Venenivibrio stagnispumantis. It matches the Rfam family "tRNA". From Rfam's summary of the family: Transfer RNA (tRNA) molecules are approximately 80 nucleotides in length. Their secondary structure includes four short double-helical elements and three loops (D, anti-codon, and T loops). Lineage: Bacteria; Pseudomonadati; Aquificota; Aquificia; Aquificales; Hydrogenothermaceae. RNAcentral also lists the same sequence under 3 other names. The record is from Rfam by way of RNAcentral.
GGCGGGGUAGCCAAGUGGUAAGGCAGGGGACUGCAAAUCCCUUAUACGUGGGUUCGAUUCCCACCCCCGCCU